AUCGCUUCUCGGCCUUUUGGCUAAGAUCAAGUGUAAAAAAGUUUGCAGCAAAAUUAAAAGAUAAAUUUAUUUCUAUGGGACAUAUUUUUGAAAUCCAUGCACCAUCUUAAUAGAGUUUUCAUACGUGCUGUGACGACCCUGGUGUGCGUGGGCAUUGGAGUCCUGCACAGUUUCCUCACAAUGCACAUUUUCA
Lepus europaeus (European hare) is the source of this 193-nucleotide small nuclear RNA. RefSeq annotates it as U2 spliceosomal RNA. NCBI's taxonomy places the organism in Eukaryota, Metazoa, Chordata, Mammalia, Lagomorpha, Leporidae. The record is from RefSeq and is a predicted model, not a curated record. The transcript has a single exon.